GAUGAACGUUGGCGGUGUGCCUAAUACAUGCAAGUCGAACGGAGACUGUAGCAAUACUGUCUUAGUGGCGAACGGGUGAGUAACGCGUUGGUGAUCUGCCUCGAAGUGUGGAAUAACCUCCCGAAAGGGAAGCUAAUACCGCAUAGUCUCUCAAGGUUUAGAAAAUUGAGAGUAAAGGAUUUAUUCGCUUCGAGAGGAGCCUGCGUCCCAUCAGCUAGUUGGUAGGGUAAAGGCCCACCAAGGCGAUGAUGGGUAGCCGGCCUGAGAGGGUGUACGGCCACACUGGGACUGAGAUACGGCCCAGACUCCUACGGGAGGCAGCAGCUAAGAAUAUUCCGCAAUGGACGAAAGUCUGACGGAGCGACGCCGCGUGGAUGAAGAAGGCCGAAAGGUUGUAAAGUUCUUUUGCUAGGGGAGAAUAAGUGAGGGAGGGAAUGCCUCAUGAUGACAAGGACUAGCGAAUAAGCCCCGGCCAACUACGUGCCAGCAGCCGCGGU
RNAcentral lists this ribosomal RNA (497 nucleotides) under uncultured bacterium. Its description in RNAcentral is "bacterial SSU rRNA". It matches the Rfam family "Bacterial small subunit ribosomal RNA", at positions 28 to 521 of the family's 1533-position model. The record is from RNAcentral.